Molecule: long non-coding RNA, 449 nt
Organism: Zingiber officinale
Lineage: Eukaryota; Viridiplantae; Streptophyta; Magnoliopsida; Zingiberales; Zingiberaceae
Exons: 2
Source: RefSeq, a predicted model, not a curated record
AAAAAAAAAGGAUCAAAAUAAAAUCUUCCGUAAGCAGAAAACAGAAGGUCUCUCAGGCGGAUCCUUUUACAGACUAAGAGUGCAUUGAUUGGUUCAUAUGAAUAUAAACGCAUCUAAUUAGAUGGUAGGAUCCAUCGUGGUCCAUCCUCUCUCCUCUGGUCCGGAAUGAUGGAUCAAUCUACCCCUGUUCCGCAAAUUGCGGACCAGGAUCCGUGCUUAGUCUCUCUUGCCCCGGCUUCGUGUUCAACGCCACUCCUCUCUCAGCAAGUGGUUCUCCGGCGACAUAUAGAAGGAAUUCCAGAUGCUCCUCCGACCGAUGGUGCAGAUCUGGAGGUGGAUCCAUUGGUGGCGGAGUCCGAGGUGAUAGGAGGGGGAACGAAGAACUGCGAGGAAAAAAGAUUGGAACUGGAUGGACUUAGCAUCAGGAUCAGCGUGCCUGCUACUCUUAG